Long non-coding RNA from Bos taurus (domestic cattle), 2083 nucleotides. NCBI's taxonomy places the organism in Eukaryota, Metazoa, Chordata, Mammalia, Artiodactyla, Bovidae. The record is from Ensembl.
GGCGAGGUUGUGUGCACAUGCAUGUUUGGCCUUGGUGAUUUUUAAACGCAAGUUUCUUGUUUUCUAAAUCGGUAAUCCUGUCACGUGGUUCAAAGCCUAAGCCCAUAUGAUAGGAAAAGAUACUGAGAAAGUGACUCCAGCACAGUGGGGUAGACGAGGUGCCAUGUCUGAAUCUGGGAGCGCCUUUUCGGAGCCUUGGAAACCCAAGGCCCUCUUCCUAUUCUCCUCUCUCUGUAGCAGCAGCAGGACACACAGAGGGGCCUGGUCACUUCAGGGAGGGAGCCCCAAUCCUGUGGGUGUGUGUGGGGGUCCUUAAUGAUUAAUCCACUUCAGCCUGAAGUGAUUAGCCCUCCACAGUGGGGAACAGCUCCCUUUGUGAGUUGAGUGCCCGGCCAUUAGCCACAACUCACAGAUGGCUAGGGCAGGCUGAGCCCAAGCCCCUUGGGGAGUUGGCUGCUGACCCUUGCCCUGAGAGAUAGGAAGAGCCUAGGGGUGAAGGCAGGGACACAGGCUCCCAGGUGGGGUUUGGGGGUGGGAGAAGCAGCUGAAGGAGUGAGGACCCAAAUGCCCCAAGGCUACCUGGGGCCAGUGGCUGCUGUGUGUCCAGAGGUUUAAGUCAGCAGUCCUCAACCUUUCUGACACCAGGGACAGAUUUCAUGGGAGACAAUUUUUUCAAGGACCGGGAGGAGAGGGAUGGUUUUUUGGGUAAUUCGAGCGCCUUACAUUUAUUGCGCACUUUAUUUCUAAUCUAAUGCUGCCGCUGAUCUGACAGGAGAUACCAGUCCAUGGCCCGGAGGUUGGGGACCCCUGGUUUAAAUCACUCCAGAAAUACUUGUUCCCCACUCUUCUCUCUUUUCCUCAGGUGGCUUUAGUCUUUGCCAGAGCCUGAAUCCCCACCCAGAAGCAUUUCAGACAGCUUCACAUGCACCUGGGGGCUCCCCAUAGACCUUGUUCUGCUUGGGGGCUCCUGCCUGCCCAGGGGAGGGCUGGGGGACUCCGGGUGGCUCUCUGUGGGCAGGAGGAAGGCUUGGGACUGGGGUCAUCUGCCUCUGGCCCCCGGCCAAUGCUGGUUCUGGUAGGGUGCGUGGGAGAAACUCCUUUCUUUCUGCUCAUUUCCAUGCAAUAGGCCUUCAGCCUUUCUACAUUCCAUCUAUGAUGCCCUGAGACCCAGCCCCUGGUGCCUGGGCACAGGGCACUGAAUCCAGGCUCCAAGCCCAGCCGGCACUGGUGGGGCGAAAACCGGCUCAGCUCUGGCCACCUGGCCUCCGGGACGGCUCGCUGAAUCCAUGAAUGAACGGGCCGCUCUCCAGAGAGUGGUGUCAGGCCUUCUCACAACCUCUUCUUGUCAGAUCAGAGAUGGCUUGCUCCCAGGUGUCCUGGCGGAGCUGGCCUGGCCCAGCGGGCAGCACUGCGAGGCCGCAGGGGUGAGGAGCCGGCCAGCCGCACCACAUGGCUCUCCUGGAACAGAGCUGGCCGGGCCCUGCCAAGCUGCCUGGAGCACUAGGGCAGGAGUCUGUGGCAGGGACAAGGUCAAGAACUGCAUCUGGAGGGAGAGGCAGUUCCCGAGAAAGGUGGCAAUCCUUGUCCAGCAAAGCAGCCAGGGAGGCCAGCCCUGGAGAAAGGAAAGGGACAAAGCAGCAUGCAUGCAUUUCCCCCUUGAAAUGGAUUUGUUGCUCGCAGUCAAAGCAGAAAAUGGACUAGCUUCUGAUAGUGGCUGAUGGCAGAACUGUAGCCAUUCCAGGGAAACCCUGGUCGGUUCAGGUUUUCUAGUCAGCUUUUUUUUUUCUUUCCUGCCGGGCAUCUCUUAAGUUCUGAGGUCCUGUGGUGUGUCCGGGGGUCUGGCCCUCCUCGGUCAUUGCACAGCCCUGCCGGCUUACUCAGGGAGGCCUAUCUAUCUCUCUCUGGGACCUGAGAAACUUUUGGAUGGUGUCUUUUCCUACUCUGGGGCUGCAGGGAACUCGGGGACAUUGCCUCAGACGGGCCAUUCCUCCAUGAUGAUGGCAAUGAUCAAGAUACUUAUUAUUUACUAGGUAUGGCCCUGUUCUAACUGCUUACCAUGAAUAAACUCAUUUUAUCCUCUCAA